Molecule: long non-coding RNA, 253 nt
Filed under: Mus pahari (shrew mouse)
Lineage: Eukaryota; Metazoa; Chordata; Mammalia; Rodentia; Muridae
Description: sRNA (MGP_PahariEiJ_G0008079.1)
Rfam family: SMAD5 antisense RNA 1 conserved region 1
Source: RNAcentral
GAAAUGGAAGUUUUAUUCUACCUAAGGAUCCUGUCUGCAGAACGCAUAUGAACUUAGGCAUUUCUUCCUCUGGUGCCCAUGUUCCAUAACUGUUUGAGGAUGGCAGGCGUCUCUGAGGAACUAUGAAGGUGUGGAUGCCUGUGAUAACGUCACCCCCUCAUGCUUCUGUUGGGUGAUGCUGCCAAACCCUGGAUUCUUCUAGCCCCACUGGGUGCGUGGGUAUAUUAGGGAGGGUCUUCUGAGUUACAGCAAA